AUGGAUAGCACAACCCAUGGCGGCAAACAAGAUGGCUGUAAUGAGCUGAUUCUGCAAGGCCUGGCAAUUCUUCAGAGGCUCGCCUUUGAUCAACAGAACUGCAGCGACAUAUGCCGCACCCCUGGUCUCCUCCCUAAGAUCAUGGCACCACUGUACUCUGAGACACUAAUCCAAGAUAUCAAUGCAAAUCAAUGGGCCGAUGUAGUGAAUGGGUCACUCAAAGUGGUACACAGGCUCAUCCGUUCUCCAGAGUGGAUUGGCAGAAGUGAUCUGGUCCACAAAAUCUGUUCGAACGAGCAUGCACUGAGCAACCUGGAGAGAAUUCUUUAUCAGGGAAAAAAUGAUGGCACAGAACUGCAGAUGAGAGCCAUAGAAAUACUGACAGAACUGGUCACUGAUUCGUCAGCCAACCUCAGCACCGAAACAAAAGAAAAUCUAAUCAAGAAGCAGUUGCAGAUAUUCCUUACCAGUGAUGAAAGGGAAGAAGAAAAGCUUAGAGUUACGGCUGGGAAAGCACUGGCAUUACUUUCCAGGAGAAAAUCUAUCUCUAAGUUUAUAAUGAAGGAAAAGAAUAAUAUUGUUGAGCAUCUCAAUGGAAUACUUGAUGCUACGAACAACAUCACGUACAGGACAGUAGCAGUGUUGCUCUUGAAGAAUCAUUGUACAUUGGACAAGGAUCAUGUGAAGGAAGCCUUGCUGCCAAAGGUCCUCAGGGAAGUAUUGUCCAGUACACAAGACCUCCCUAAAGAACAAAGAAAUAAUUCUGCACGGGAAGAAAACCAGGCAACUUCCGGACCAGGACAUGAUGAAGAAAAUCAGGCAACUUCUGGACCAGGACAUGAUGAAGAAAACCAACUGUUGCCUGAAGCAAAUGGCCAAAUCAACUCACCUGAUCAGGCAAAUGAGGAGCUAAAAGCUAAAAUGGAAUUCCGAGAAGCAUUGUUAUCGCUUACUUUUGUGAUGUGUGACAAACUGAUCACUGCAGAUGACUUCGAUGAUGUGGUUCGAAAUAGUAACAUCGGAGAAGUUAAAUUUGUGGCCAAGUUACAGGCCAUAGUACAAGAGAACCGUGACGCCAGAGCUGAUUGUCUAAGGAUCGUGAAGUUUUGCGGCCAGAUUGUGGUAUUAAUGCUGGAGCGCGGACAGGUCACGGCGCGCCUAAAGUUAUGCGUGGAGUCGCUGCGUGAGACUUCAGAGAUCAUGUCUGACCUUGAAAGCUGCAUGCUAUUUGCAGGGACUGAUUGCGGAGUGAAGAAGACAGCCAGGCCUCUCCUCUCCGAUCUUGUGGAAAAAGCGAGAAAGUUGCUU
This 1308-nucleotide ribosomal RNA is filed under the name Triticum aestivum (bread wheat). RNAcentral's name for it is "partial small subunit ribosomal RNA". The record is from RNAcentral. Lineage: Eukaryota; Viridiplantae; Streptophyta; Magnoliopsida; Poales; Poaceae.